This is an RNA transcript of Bactrocera dorsalis (oriental fruit fly), 9551 nucleotides long. It is a transcript of the gene named synaptic vesicle 2-related protein, with no coding region annotated. The record is from RefSeq and is a predicted model, not a curated record. NCBI's taxonomy places the organism in Eukaryota, Metazoa, Arthropoda, Insecta, Diptera, Tephritidae. The transcript is spliced from 3 exons.
AACUAUCAAAGGCACAAUAACUGUAUCACCUCCGAUACAAAACAAAAGGUCAAGCAGGCGUAAUAGUCAAACAGUUCGCUUUCAAUGACGAAAAUUUUAAUUUUGCUUGGGAAACUCUAAAAGCACGUUACGAAAACAAAAGAAUAUUGGUCGACAAGCAAGUAACGACACUACUAAACUUGCCUAAAAUCAAGAAAGGAACAAGUGAAGAAUUUGUAACACUACAAUCCACUGUUUCAAAUUGUUUGUCCAUACUAUCGACAUUAAAUAUUCCCACAGACAGCUGGGACCCAAUUCUGGUAAACAUUUGCACCGCCGCAUUACCAGAAAAGUCGUUACUACUAUGGGAGCAAUCGCUCUCAUCACGAAAAAAGUGCCCAACGUGGCAGCAAAUGAAAGAUUUUCUCACCACCCAAUAUGAAAUUGCGGAAAGGUUAGAAGAAAAAACUAAGAACAUUAAACACGACCAAAAUAGAAGCUUAAACAGACCCCAAGUUAGAAGCAAAAACAAAUCAAACAUAAUUUUUAACAAAACACAAUCGUUCACAUCCGAACAAAGAAAACACACGUCAUGCGAACUAUGCACAAGAGGGCAUAAGCUUAAAACUUGCGAGAAGUUUAAAAAAUUAAACAUUAACGAAAGGAACAACUUUGUCAGAUCAAAAAGACUCUGUACAAACUGCUUGUCCAAUACACAUAAUCUUAAAAAUUGCAAAAGUAAAUACAAUUGCAUAUAUUGUCACAAAAGACACAAUUCAAUGCUGCACUACAGCACAUACCCUAACUCACCCUAUAAAAGCGCUAAUAAAUCAAGAACCACGGGAUUAAUUGCAAACACAAAUCCCAAAAACCAAAAUUGUAAAAAAAGCCAAGAGACACCAUGUUGCUCAAAGGCACAAAAAGUUCAAACGCUGCACAGCGAAGCACAAGGUGGACUUGUUACUGAACUAGUUACCACCAUACCAACUCAAGUUGAGGACAAAUACCUUAAUACAACACACACAAUUAAGGAAAUUACAAAAGUUAAGAAAACUUCCAUUAACAAACAAAACUAUACAAGAUCAGUAUUGUGAGCACUUCUCUAAAGCCUCAAAUACUCGAUCAAAUAAUAUAAUAAUCUCUAACGAGCUCUCAAUUACUUAAAACAAAAACAAACCGAACAGAAUUACAAGACAUUACAGUUUAUACAUUGCCAGUAUAUAGUACAUUAGCACAAACAAUUCGUGCAUACUUAGGCACAAAGCGAAUUGAUCUCUAUAACGAGCUCUCAAUCGCACAAGCAUAAGUACAUACAUACAUAUUUAUAUACAAGUCCGAGUAUUAGGGUGUACCUAAUUACAAAAUUUCGGACAUCAAAUAUUUUAAUAUAUAACAAAGGCGGUUUAAAAGUAAUUUACAAUUCAAAAUAAAAUAUAAAUAAAAAUAAUAUUGCAAUAACAUUGCAAAACGAUAUUAAUUAAAAAUACGUUUUUACACAUAUAAUCUAAAACCAAAAAAAAAAAAACUCUUUAAAAGAGUAUUCAAUUUAUUAUACUUUAUCGCUUCUAUUAGAAUAUCAUAAAUCAGUUUACACUGAAAAAAUCUUUUACAGUAUUUUAAUAUACAAAUAUACAAUAUAAUAAAAAUGGUUAAUAACGAAAAAAAUCGUAAUACACCUGCAGCAGCUUUACGCUCAAAACAGGCUAUUAAAUUCAUUUCAGAAAGUGACAUUUUAACAAGAUACUGCACUAGAUUUGCCUCUUCACCGAUUCACGAAAACUCGGAAUCGUUACUAGAAAUCAAAAUUGUAAAUCUUAAUAAUUUUUGGACACGACUCCAAGCGGCUCAUGAUGCCAUAGUAGAAUCUGAAGGUUCAGAUCUACCUCAAAAUUUUAAAUCAUCGGCUUACGAUAUUUACGAAAACUGCUUGGACCAAUAUGAGGAAACCAAAGCUAUGAUCUCCGAUCAAUUAAAGCUAAUUAAAGCAAUUGCCCCUACUCUCCACAGUAGAGUAGAGCUGCCACAAAUGGACAGUCACGAGGCAAGUUCAGGCAUCCACCUCGAGUUGCCUGCAUGUGACACAGAAACAUUCUAUGGAGGUUAUGAAGAAUGGCCGUCCUUCCGGGACAUGUUUACAGCCGUUUACAUCAACCAUCCACAACUAUCAAAGGCACAAAAACUGUAUCACCUCCGAUACAAAACAAAAGGUCAAGCAGGCGUAAUAGUCAAACAGUUCGCUUUCAAUGACGAAAAUUUUAAUUUUGCUUGGGAAACUCUAAAAGCACGUUACGAAAACAAAAGAAUAUUGGUCGACAAGCAAGUAACGACACUACUAAACUUGCCUAAAAUCAAGAAAGGAACAAGUGAAGAAUUUGUAACACUACAAUCCACUGUUUCAAAUUGUUUGUCCAUACUAUCGACAUUAAAUAUUCCCACAGACAGCUGGGACCCAAUUCUGGUAAACAUUUGCACCGCCGCAUUGCCAGAAAAGUCGUUACUUCUAUGGGAGCAAUCGCUCUCAUCACGAAAAAAGUGCCCAACGUGGCAACAGAUGAAAGAUUUUCUCACCACCCAAUAUGAAAUUGCGGAAAGGUUAGAAGAAAAAACUAAGAACAUUAAACACGACCAAAAUAGAAGCUUAAACAGACCCCAAGUUAGAAGCAAAAACAAAUCAAACAUAAUUUUUAACAAAACACAAUCGUUCACAUCCGAACAAAGAAAACACACGUCAUGCGAACUAUGCACAAGAGGGCAUAAGCUUAAAACUUGCGAGAAGUUUAAAAAAUUAAACAUUAACGAAAGGAACAACUUUGUCAGAUCAAAAAGACUCUGUACAAACUGCUUGUCCAAUACACAUAAUCUUAAAAAUUGCAAAAGUAAAUACAAUUGCAUAUAUUGUCACAAAAGACACAAUUCAAUGCUGCACUACAGCACAUACCCUAACUCACCCUAUAAAAGCGCUAAUAAAUCAAGAACCACGGGAUUAAUUGCAAACACAAAUCCCAAAAACCAAAAUUGUAAAAAAAGCCAAGAGACACCAUGUUGCUCAAAGGCACAAAAAGUUCAAACGCUGCACAGCGAAGCACAAGGUGGACUUGUUACUGAACUAGUUACCACCAUAUCAACUCAAGUUGAGGACAAAUACCUUAAUACAACACACACAAUUAAGGAAAUUACAAAAGUUAAGAAAACUUCCAUUAACAAACAAAACUAUACAAGAUCAGUAUUGUGAGCACUUCUCUAAAGCCUCAAAUACUCGAUCAAAUAAUGGCCGGUACGCUGUACGACUACCACUAGAGCCACAAUUUUGCAAUGCCCCACAUAAAGGUAGAAAAAGCAAGGUCAGAUUCCCUCUGACAACCACAUAUAAAAACACAAAAAUAUGUUCGUAACCUUUCGACCCCGCAGGAUGGCAUCCGCCAAUAAUGAUCAAAAAAUCCUGCUUAAAAAAUCACAAGUUAUGUGGCGCUCUACUAAACGCCAAAUUAGUGCAUACGCACUAAAACAUAAAAUACACAAUUGUAUCAAAAAAUCGAAAAAUCGACAUUUUAAAUAAAAUCUUAAACAAAAUUAAGUUUCAACGAGCACCAAAUGCCCAAUUCGAUAGUGUGGCGCACCUAGACUUACAAAAAGCAAAGGUCGUUCUUAUCGUUCUUACAUAAGCGCUCCUCAUAUGGGUAGUGGAUGGGAUUCUGUUGUCAAAUUUUAACAUUCUACUUCAAAAAAGUAGCUAGAAAUUACCACAGUACAAUUCGAAAUGAAGCCGUUCGCAAUUCACGGCACUCUCGCAAGAUCCCUCUAAUUUCAUAGUCCUAAAUCUAGGGCUAAGGAGUACCCAUUCUGGCCACAUCUGAGCCAGGCAUGGAGUAACUAUCCUUUAUAAGCAGAGGCAAAUUAUAAACAACCGGUAUACCAUACCGAUGAAAUACGAAAUUUAAAUAACCGCUAGUAAAAUAAAUAAAAGCAAACAAUUUUUUUUCUAUAAUAAUAAGUCGUCAAAACACGCAAAAGGAAAUUACUACCUAAAGCACCACUACUUACAUAAAAUACAAAUGUAUACCAAAACCAAAAUCGCUUCUUACAGCUUAUUUUAUGCAACCUCGGCUACUUCGCCAACACUAAGCAAAUUACAUGUAUCACCUUAUACAAAAUACUAGGCAAAAUAUUCGCCUAGGGGGCCCAGGAUGUUUAAAUGAGUUAAGCAUCCCCCCACUUUAACCGGAAAAACUAGCACACACUAAUACUUGACGACACCACACUCGCACACAAGACAACUCACCACGCUUGUACAUCCACCCACUAAGCAUAAAGGAUGGUCUCCUAAGCAGAUUCAAAACAUUCGUGCCAGCAAUUUCGUCACAUACAAUUCGCUACCAACAUUCGUUUUACACACUGCGCCGCGUCGACGCCUUUCGCCAUAUACGCAUCGCUGAUACAAAUUGGAUUCUUCGCUACCAAGUUCGCAUAGACACUGCCUCUUCGAUACCUACGCGCUUCUACGGGGAUUUUUACCUUUUCUUAUCGAUGCGCGGAAAUUCGACCAGCCGCACCGUGAAAUCAUCUUCGGCAUUGCAGUCUCGCCGCCCCGCAUAUUACCAUUUUUUUAAAUAAAACUUAAAAUAUUUGUAACAUUUAAGUUUAUAAUUUUGUUAUUAUAUAUUUCUAAAAUAAAAACAAAAUUUAUAAUAAAAUAAAUUUUGUACCCUUUAAACAGUAUUAGUUAAGAAAGGUUAAGAUGUAAUUUGUCGAUGGAAAUUGGAAUAAAUUUUUAUAAGUCGAUUGAAUAAUAACAUAGCAAUUUUGUUAAAAUUGCACGAGGUCGUGUAAUGGUCAGGAUGACCGUGUCGGCGCACCCUAAUGGUGUGUGGAUAUUGGUAUGCGUGUGUGCGUGUAUGUGUAUACAGUUUAGGGAAUUUCAUUAAAAGUCUAAGUUCCUCAUUAUUCCAUCAGCCGCUAAUUAUGCUGUGAUUGGUUGUGACUUCAAGAAGUACCCCAUUAGCGGGGCAACAGCGUGGCGUCGCCACCAUCGAGUGUGGUUGUCUGCAUGUCGUCUCUUCAAGGAAUACCGUUUUAGCGGGACGACAGCGUGGCGUCGCUAUCGCCGAGCGUGGUUCGGUGGUAAGAUCAAAAGGAAGAAAACGACGUAGAGUCAGUCGAGUUGAGGACUUGAUCUUGUGAAGUCGUGUUCAAGAGUUCAAGUGUGAAAAUAUUGUGAAGUGUAAGUGUGAAACCGAAACUCGCUACGCUGUAACCAUGUCUAACGAAGACAAUGGUAUUCCGACAUAUGCAAGUACAAAUCAAUUUCAAAUCAAGAUAUUAUCAGUAAUAUAAAAAGCGCGCACUUCUCUCUUUUUACGUACACACAUAUGUACAUAUGUAUGUAUGUGCGUAUGACAUUCUCACAAAUAAUAUAUGCGUACGCAUGUAAAUCAAAAAAUACAAACUUUCUUCUGGAAAAACAACAAUAGUCCCAAAAAUCAUCAUACAUACCUACAAUAUGUGUACACAUGUAAGUAUGUGCGUAUGACAUUCCCACACAAACAAUGAAUACACAACAUACAUACUUACAUGCGUUCACAUGUGGAUAUGUCACCCGCAAAAAUUACAAAUAUUGUUCUACAAAAACAACAAUCGUUAGAAAAAGCAUCAGAAACCAAUAUGGCAGCCAAAUUGUCGGCGUCAAAAUUUAUAGUAAAUUAACGUACUUUCAAAAAGCAGACACCUUUACAUCUCCCCGAGCAUGCCUUGCCCACAAGCGUCUUUUCGCGACGAUUUCAAAAGCUAAAAUUCAUACAUUGAAUAUAUUUCUAAAAUUUUAUGGAAGGAAAAAGUGACAACCCCGCAAAUAUAUAUCUAGAAUUUCCAACAUAGUUUAUUUGUCGAUUUUCAAGUCAAGAAAUAUUUCAAAGAAAAUAUUCAAUAUUCCUCAGAUUUAUGUGUACAGUCAAUCCCGGUUAAGUAGUACUCCGCCUAAGUGCCAAUCCCUCUUAACUUCCUGUAUCUUGGUGCAUCUCAAGCUUUGUUUUUUGAAAUACAUUCAAACUAUUGUUUUAAGUACGACUCGGUUAAGUGUCCGCAGUCGCUUAUGUACCAUAUUAUAUCUUUAUUUUUAACAAACCACAAAAAUCUGUAUCUUUGAGUGUGGGAUUGACUGUAUUUGUCAAGGAAUAUAAAAAAUAGUUGUAAUUUUGAAAUAUUUUUAUGCGGUUGGCAAAAAUUUGCGUCGAUAUGUAUGCAAGCUCACACACAAACAUACAUAUUUAUGCUGGUUUGUUGGCGAAACUGUACAGCGGCAAGCAAAGCGGUGACAAUCGGCGGCCAUUCGUUUAUUUUUUUCGGGACAGCUUGGAUUUUCUACCAACAACACAAUGUUUGACUUUUUGACAAAACUUGAAGUUCGGACAUUGGUUGUCCAUGACAACGGAAUUUUUGUAUGAAACAGUGGGUGUACAUAUGUAUAUAUUUACACACAAAGUUAUGUGUUGACAAAUUUACAAACAUUAUGCGAAUGAUUAUUUCAAAUCUGUUUACGUGCACACAAAAUUACAUACAUACAUAUGUAUGUGAAUAUGUGAGCAUUAUGCGUAUGGCUUUUAAAAUCUGUUUACAUGUACACAUAAUUAUUAGUGAUGAGCGAUAUUUCACUACCGGUGGUUUUUUCACUGUGAUUGAAAAAUCGCAAAUCGCAACUGCGAUCACUUUUAAUAAAUAGCAGUUCGCUUCUAUGAACUGCAACUGUGAUCGCAGUUCGAACCUGUGAAUUGCGAUCGCAAUUCGAAACUGUGAUCGCAGUUUGAACCUGUGAAUUGCGAUCGCAGUUCGAAACUGUGAUCGCAGUUCGAACCUGUGAAUUACGAUCACAAUAGCAAAUAGCAGAAAAGUAACAACUUUCUUCAGGGUAUUGUAUAUAUCGUAUAUGCUAUUUUUCGUCAUAGCGGUUUGAAGUUUUGAGCGUAACGUUCUUAUAAUUUUUAAUAAUGGCAGCAAAUGUAUCAAGGAAAAGAAGUGAAGUGUGAUGUUUGAAGUGGUAGAUGAAGUAUAAUCAAAAUGGAAUAUUUUAAUUUGUUUUAAUAAAAUUUUUAAUUUUACUUAUUGUUAAAACCAAAUUUGAAAGCUUUUUGUGAUGAAAACAAGAAUUGUAACUAAUUACUUUCAGAAAAAAUGAUGGAAUAAAAAAAUUACGGGUUUUUAAUAUUUUCCCAAAGAUUAGGAAACUCGCGUUAAUUAUUUGGUCUUGAAAAUAUUAAAAGCGGGUAUUCUGAACAAAUAAAUUAUCAACCACACUAAUGGUAAUUCCUUCUAAGAAAUGUGUGAAACCAUCAUACCAACAUACAAAUGAACUAUGCAAUACGCCCUAAGUGUCAGGUAACCGAACCGCUCCAACAUUUGCGAAAAUGUAGUGAAAAGAAAGGCGGAAAAACUUGAAUUUAGUUACAGGAGCCAAAAGAGAAUUUUUCCGCCAAUAACGACAAAAUGUUUCCGUCGUUCCCACGACAGUCGGGUCUACGUAAGUGGAACAGACCCGGACUUUUAUUCGGCCAAACAGUGUCAGAUUGGCAGAAUCUGCCGCUACAAUAACAACAACAACGACGUUUGAACGCCGACUUAGUUGCGAUCGCAAUAGCAAUAUAAAAUCACAGUGAUUUAAAAAUAGCAAUCACUGAAAUCACAGAUAUUCUAAAAUCACAAUAUCGCUCAUCUCUAAUAAUUAUAUGCAAGUUAAUGACAGCCUCCACACAGCCACUUGACCAUAACUGUAAACAAUAUUCAAUCUUCACACUUUGUAGUUGUGCGGCUUCAUAAAUUAAAAUAGAAUUCGAUAUACUUUUUCCGUUCACAUUAUAAUAAACAAUUCUUAUCUAAACAAUAUUUGUAGCCCUCACAAGAAGGCAUAAUAAAAUCAAAACAGAACACUUAACGUUCUGCCUAAAAAUGCUGAAUAUGAUAUUAAUGUAAAUUGACACUUUCUUUGUUUCAAACUCAACUUCAAUGUGUAAUAACUUUAAGCAAAUAAUAAGUAAAUGUAUAAAUAUUAGUAACUUGGAAAUAAGAGAUAGAUUUUGUCUCUGCGCGUUGGCAGAUAGAAAAAAUAUAUUUUUUUACGAAUUCCCGCGAUACGGGAAUUAAUUGGCGCCCAACGUGGGGCGACGAAAAACAAAAUAUCCUGGGAAAAGGAUACGUGAUCGUGGAUCCUUAUAAAAGAUAAAUAAUAAAAAUAUAAAAUCCUCGUGCGAAAGGUAAUAUGCAAAAAAGCAUAAUAAUAAUAUCUCAAUAUUCAACAGAAAGCCUAUGAUGCUAGCGCUGCGUACUUUAGUUUGUAUAAUAAUUUGUUUAUUAUGUAAACUUUAAUAAAAUAAAAAAAUAAAAUAUCUCAAUAAAAGUGAGAAAAGUUAAAAGUCAAAACCAAAACAUGCUAUGCCGCGUAAACUAACAAAAAAUAAUAAUACGAAAUCUAAUAUAUAACACAUGUCGUGUCGCCAAAACAAAAAAAAUGUAAUUAAUAUUAAAAUAAAAUAUAUUAUAAAUAUAAAAUUAAACAUUAAUAAAACAUAUUACCCAAAACACACUAAAAACUAAAACAAAUUAAUGUAAAUAAAACUAUCAAACAAACAAAUACAUAUCAACAACAUUUGUGACUACAGCAACGUGAGAAAUGCCAGAAAACUUAUAGAAAACAGUGAGAGUAAAGACGAAACAACAAGAAGACAACAGAGGAAAACAUUGGAGAAAGCAGUGACUGAAGUACAGACAGAAAAUGAUAAAGCAAACGCAUACUGAGUUAUUAAAUAUUGAUGGAGAGUUAGAAACUCUUCCCGCAGUCAUUCCAAUUGUGAAACGUCAAAAGCUACCAGAUCCAGUCAAAUGUCAAAGUUUAGAGCGGCUCUUUCAUUUCCAGUGACAGGAGAGUUGGGGAUCUCUUUAUCUCUGAUGUAAAUUUAACUUACCACCGCUUCUACCGUCCGUCCAAUAGAUAUCCGUUAAAAUUGGAUAUUUCCCUUAGAAACGAGUCAGAUGCUCACUAUUUUACAAUAAAGAGUUGCCGGUCUCGAUAUUUUAUAGUAAUUAAAAAAUAAACUUGAAUAUAUUUUACAUUUUCUUAAAGUAAUUCAGAAUCACAGUUAAAUACUAUUAUUAUAAAUAGUUAGACCAUUUUUAAUAGUUGGAUUUUAAUUUUGAUCUUUUACUUGAUGACAAAUUAUAACUGAAAUGCACCAUAUAAACAUAAUAAAACGGGCCUCUCUGUUCACUUACGCUCUUUUAGCACAUGCUAGAACCAAAAAUAAAGAGAUGCUCAACUAUCAUGUCAUUGGAUAUUAAUCAUAUCCGGAAAUUUAAAAGCUAACUGAAUUCAGCAGACUUUGACCUUUUGCGAUUGGGAAAAGAAUGACGGCCAUUCUACUAAAAAAUAUGUGAACGGAGAGAUCUGUUCAAGAUCAUUAAGAAUAAUUGUAAAACAAUAAAAAUUAAAGAAAACGCGAAAUUGAGAUAUAUGUAACAAAAUCUUUUGUAAUGUCAUGCUUCGUAUAUCAAUUUUCCAUUGAACAGAAUAAAAAAUCAUAUACUAAUUGAGA